This 776-nucleotide non-coding RNA is filed under the name Pan troglodytes (chimpanzee). Lineage: Eukaryota; Metazoa; Chordata; Mammalia; Primates; Hominidae. The record is from RNAcentral.
CUCUCCAAGCUGGGCGGGUCGUCCUUGCCGGCCGGCACCUCGGGUAGCGAGCCCCGAGGGCAGAGGAGCCGGCUCCACCCGGCCUGGCCCCGAACCCUCCGCGGCGCCGGCCAAUCGCCGCUGCCAUCCUCCCGCUGGGGUGAUGUCUUCAGGUGUCCGGGAGGGGAGAAAGCCCUGCGUACUUCCAGCCCCGCUCCUGUGCCAGGAACCGGCGGCCCUCCGAGCCCUCCGCAGCCGGCCUCCGGGCCCCGAGCGCGGUGAGUCCGCUUGCCCGCUCGCCCGCUCGCUCGCUCGCUGGUCCAUCCGCCUCCUCACCUUCAGGACCCGGAUCCCUCCCGGCCGGCGGCUCGCGGGCGCUUCGGGCGGCUCCGGGGGCUCCAGCGGGCCCGCGGGCCCCGGCUCCACCUCCCCCAUCGGCGACCCAGGCUGCACAGAGACGCCCGGCCCGCGCGACGGCGUGCGGAACCUCGGCGGCGCGCGCAAGCAACCGGUGGCCCCGCCCCCCGCGGCCCGCCGGCUCCGCCCCUCCGGCGGCUCGCCGGCUCCGCCCCUCCCGCGCCCCGCUGGACCUAAGCAGCUGCGGGCGCCGAGUGGCCCGGGCGCCACCGAGCCGCAUCCCGGCCGCGGCCCGCGUGGCGGAACCUGGCACCACCGCAGGGCGCGGGGCCUCCACUGCCCGCCGCCCUAGGCUUGGAGGACUAGAGCUCAAGGAGGGGUAUUUGCUGCUUUCCCCGCCCUCUAAAAAACCCGCGGGAGAAAGAAGCAGGUGGCGCCGG